AUGCAAGCCUCACGGUCUGCUUUGAAGAAAGAAAAUCCGUUGGGAAUGGAUGUAAUGUCAUCUGAAGAAUAUGCUUCGCAGUCUAAGUUACUGCUAGAAUUCACCAAUGUCCCAAGCAUUGAAAGUGCUUGGCUUUUCAAAACCAACAAUGAAGACAGAUCCACAGCGAUGUUUUCCAUUAGUCAGCCGGACCUGCUAGCGAACAACAAGAGGAAAUAUAUUUUGCAUUCUCAUAUUGUGACACGUGGAACCAUGCCUCUCGAGUGUCAUUGGUCUCCUUUCCCUAUUGAAAUGACCGGAGUGUCGGCUGUCGUUCCAUCCCGUUCGGGGUCAAAGCUUCUCGUGGUGCGGAACGGGGAGAAAGGCUCACGUACGACACUUCAGAUUGUUAACCAAUCACAUGUGGAGAAAGAGAUACAUGUUGGUCAGGCUAUCCAUGGUCCACUUUAUACCGAUGAGUGGUUUCAAGGGAUUUCCUGGAACCAUGAAGAGACCUCCAUAGCGUACAUCGCCGAACAGCCACCUCAACCAAAACCGGCUUUCGAUGAUGCCGGAUACAGAAAAGAAGGCUCUUCUGAGGAAGACUGUAAUAGUUGGAGAGGACAAGGGGAUUGGGAAGAGGACUGGGGUGAAACUUACUCCAGAAAGGGGAGACCCUCGUUGUUUGUUCUUGAUAUUGAUAGUGGAGAAGUACGUGCCGCUAGAGGAGUUACAAAACCAAUGAGUGCUGGUCAAGUUGUUUGGGCUCCGCCGUCUUCAAGUGGCCAUCGAAAGCUUUUGGUGUUCGUGGGAUGGUUAGAACACAACGGAUUUCAGGGCACCGCUAGAAAACUCGGCAUCAAGUACUGUUCUAACAGGCCAUGUUCUCUGUAUGCAAUUCAUUCCCCUUUUGAAGAAGAACCAGAUGCCGAUAACGCGUCUGUUGGUGGUAGUGAGUCAGUAUCUGCUUCAGUAGCAACCAACUUAACCCCAAGCAUAAGCAGCGCUUUAUUUCCACGGUUCAGCAAGGAUGGAAAACUCCUGGUGUUUCUGUCUUCAAAACGUGCAGUUGAUAGUGGAGCACAUAAUGCCACAGAUUCGCUGCAUCGAAUCGACUGGCCUUCUGAUUGGAAAGCAGAGCAACAACUCAGCGUGACCGAUGUGGUUCCUGUUGUAAUGUGCCCUCAAGAUGGAUGUUUUCCUGGUCUAUACUGCUCAUCCAUGCUGUCUGAUCCUUGGUUUUCUGAUCAUCGCACGAUGGUAUUAACAUCUGCUUGGAGAAGUACUGAAGUGAUACUGUCAAUAGAUGUGUUAAGUGGGGAAGUAACCAGAAUAAGUCCAGAAGACUCAGGUUACUCAUGGAGCGCCCUUGCAAUAAAUGGCAACAAUGUCCUCUCUGUGUCGAGCAGUCCCAUCGACCCUCCUCAAAUCAGGUAUGGCCGUCGAGCGUCAACAGAGGAUCAUGGUACACGCGCAUGGGUCUGGGACGAAGUUACGAGCCCGUUGACAGCAGCCAGUAACAAGAUAAAGGCUUUGUUAUCUCAUCACAAGUUGAGCAUACUCAGAGUCCCGGUCCCUAACCCCUCUGAUGAACUCUCUGACGGUGGUCGGCUUCCAUUUGAGGCCAUCUUUGUGUCCUGCGAGGAUAGUUCACAGAAACCAACUGUUUUAAUCCUUCAUGGUGGCCCACACUCAACAUCUGUAUCAAGCUAUUCGAAAUCGUCGGCGUUUCUUGUGUCACUUGGGUUUAACCUGCUUAUUGCAAAUUAUAGAGGUACCCUGGGUUACGGAGAGGAGGCUUUGCAAUCACUCCCUGGGAAGGUUGGAUCUCAGGAUGUCCAAGAUUGUCUUGCAGCACUAGACCACGUGAUCAAGGAAGGGCUGGUGGAUGCAUCCAAAGUAGCAGUUGUCGGGAUCUCGCACGGCGGCUUCUUGACAACCCAUUUAAUCGGCCAGGCUCCUGAGAGAUUUGCUGUGGCGGCGGCUCGAAACCCGGUCUGUAACCUGUCACUGAUGAUUGGCACCACAGACAUCCCAGAUUGGUGCUACGCCGUGGCCUGCGGGACUCAAGCGAGGCGUCUCGCCUCUGAAUCACCUUCACCUGACCACCUUCAAAUCUUCCACCAGAAAUCACCGAUUGCCCAUAUUUCAAAAGUGAAAGCGCCUUUGCUUAUGCUUCUUGGAGGAGCAGAUCUCCGGGUACCCGCUUCCAAUGGCCUACAGUAUGCAAGGGCUCUGAGAGAGAGAGGAGGCGAGGUCAAAACCAUCAUGUUCCCAGAGGAUACGCACGAAAUCGAUAUACCGCGGUCGGAUUUUGAGAGCUUCCUCAACAUGGGAGUCUGGUUCAAGAAAUAUCUGAAACUGAUCUGA
Molecule: ribosomal RNA, 2349 nt
Filed under: Triticum aestivum (bread wheat)
Lineage: Eukaryota; Viridiplantae; Streptophyta; Magnoliopsida; Poales; Poaceae
Description: partial small subunit ribosomal RNA
Source: RNAcentral